CCUACGGGAGGCAGCAGUGAGGAAUAUUGGUCAAUGGGCGCGAGCCUGAACCAGCCAAGUCGCGUGAAGGAUGACUGCCCUACGGGUUGUAAACUUCUUUUAUAAAGGAGUAAAGUGAGGCACGUGUGCCUUUUUGUAUGUACUUUAUGAAUAAGGAUCGGCUAACUCCGUGCCAGCAGCCGCGGUAAUACGGAGGAUCCGAGCGUUAUCCGGAUUUAUUGGGUUUAAAGGGAGCGUAGGUGGGUUGGUAAGUCAGUUGUGAAAUUUUGCGGCUCAACCGUAAAAUUGCAAUUGAUACUGGCAGCCUUGAGUACAGUAGAGGUAGGCGGAAUUCGUGGUGUAGCGGUGAAAUGCGUAGAUAUCACGAAGAACUCCGAUUGCGAAGGCAGCUUACUAAACUGCCACUGACACUGAUGCUCGAAAGUGUGGGGAUCAAACAGGAUUAGAUACCCCAGUAGUC
This 460-nucleotide ribosomal RNA is filed under the name uncultured bacterium. RNAcentral describes it as "partial 16S ribosomal RNA". It matches the Rfam family "Bacterial small subunit ribosomal RNA", at positions 338 to 795 of the family's 1533-position model. The record is from RNAcentral.